This 497-nucleotide ribosomal RNA is filed under the name uncultured bacterium. RNAcentral describes it as "partial 16S ribosomal RNA". It matches the Rfam family "Bacterial small subunit ribosomal RNA", at positions 28 to 507 of the family's 1533-position model. The record is from RNAcentral.
GAUGAACGCUGGCGGCGUGCCUAAUACAUGCAAGUCGAGCGAACAGACGAGGAGCUUGCUCCUUCGACGUUAGCGGCGGACGGGUGAGUAACACGUAGGUAACCUACCUAUAAGACUGGGAUAACUUCGGGAAACCGGAGCUAAUACCGGAUAAUAUUUCGAACCGCAUGGUUCGAUUGUGAAAUAUGGCUUUGCUAUCACUUAUAGAUGGACCUGCGCCGUAUUAGCUAGUUGGUAAGGUAACGGCUUACCAAGGCAACGAUACGUAUCCGACCUGAGAGGGUGAUCGGCCACACUGGAACUGAGACACGGUCCAGACUCCUACGGGAGGCAGCAGUAGGGAAUCUUCCGCAAUGGGCGAAAGCCUGACGGAGCAACGCCGCGUGAGUGAUGAAGGUCUUCGGAUCGUAAAACUCUGUUAUUAGGGAAGAACAAACGUGUAAGUAACUGUGCACGUCUUGACGGUACCUAAUCAGAAAGCCACGGCUAACUACGUG